This is a long non-coding RNA of Lemur catta (Ring-tailed lemur), 488 nucleotides long. RefSeq lists it as uncharacterized. The record is from RefSeq and is a predicted model, not a curated record. NCBI's taxonomy places the organism in Eukaryota, Metazoa, Chordata, Mammalia, Primates, Lemuridae. The transcript has 4 exons.
CCCUGGGCAAGAAAACAAAUGGAAUUUCAGAGAAUUCAGAACAAAUACUACAAAUCAGGGACCAUACUCAAACCUCCUUUCAAUCUUACACUUUUGAAAGACAAUUUAGAAGCACAAAGGACACAGAGCAACUCCACUCUAAUAGUUACAUUGAGCCUUUACUUUUGACUUUCUUCUGUUGAGCUGGAAUUAAAUUUUUCUUCAGUAAAAAGUUUUCUCAGCUUCUCUAUGGUGCAUAUCAUAUUAUCUCCAAUGUAAAAUGCUAAAGAAAAAACUGAGGCAGAGCAUGGGUUUGAAAGGCUAAGGCAUUGCCUUCUAAUCCACACAGGAAGACCAGAGAGAUAGCCUCAGGCUGCUGCAGGUGUAGGCCCUCAAUGGAUUGAAUGAUGCCUGAACAUGUUGGAGAAGCGCGAGUGGAAUCUAUAAUCAGAAUUUAUGAGAAGAAAACAGCUGUUUGCCGCAAAAUGAUAGAGUCCAUUCACUGUCCU